GCGUGUCCUCUGUGACUGUAGUUCCAGUGAAGGAGGCGUAGCCUAUGUACAUAUCAGUUCCAGUGAAGGAGGUCUGGCCUUUGUACAUGUCAAUCCCAGUGAAGGAGGCGUGUCCUCUGUGACUGCAGUUCCAGUGAAGGAGGUGUGGCCUUUGUACAUGUCAAUCCCAGUGAAGGAGGCGUGUCCUCUGUGCCUGCAGUUCCAGUGAAGGAGGUCUGGCCUAUGUACAUAUCAGUCCCAGUGAAGGAGGUGUGUCCUCUGUGACUGCAGUUCCAGUGAAGGAGGCGUAGCCUAUGUACAUAUCAGUCCCAGUGAAGGAGGCGUGUCCUCUGUGACUGCAGUUCCAGUGAAGGAGGCGUAGCCUAUGUACAUAUCAGUCCCAGUGAAGGAGGUGUGUCCUCUGUGACUGCAGUUCCAGUGAAGGAGGUGUGGCCUUUGUACAUGUCAAUCCCAGUGAAGGAGGCGUGUCCUCUGUGCCUGCAGUUCCAGUGAAGGAGGUGUGUCCUAUGCAAAUGUAUUUUCCAGAA
Ictalurus punctatus (channel catfish) is the source of this 527-nucleotide long non-coding RNA. The record is from Ensembl. NCBI's taxonomy places the organism in Eukaryota, Metazoa, Chordata, Actinopteri, Siluriformes, Ictaluridae.